This 365-nucleotide ribosomal RNA is filed under the name uncultured soil bacterium. RNAcentral's name for it is "bacterial SSU rRNA". It matches the Rfam family "Bacterial small subunit ribosomal RNA", at positions 26 to 383 of the family's 1533-position model. The record is from RNAcentral.
AGGACGAACGCUGGCGGCGCGCUUAACACAUGCAAGUCGAGCGAGAACCGGGGCUUCGGCCCCGGGGACAGCGGCGAACGGGUGAGUAACACGUGGAUAACCUGCCCUCGGCACCGGGAUAGCCCGGGGAAACCCGGAUUAAUACCGGAUGGCCCUUCCGACUUUCGAGUCGGUCGGCAAAGGUAGCUUCGGCCUCCGGCCGAGGAUGGGUCCGCGGCGGAUUAGCUUGUUGGUGGGGUAAUGGCCUACCAAGGCUCCGAUCCGUAGCUGGUCUGAGAGGACGAUCAGCCACACUGGGACUGAGACACGGCCCAGACUCCUACGGGAGCAGCAGGUGGGAAUCUUGCGCAAGUGGGACGAAAGCC